GGGGGUGGUGGCAAUGGCACACUGGCAAAGUAUUUGCUUAGCAUGCAGAAGGUCCCAGGUUCAAUCCCCGGCAUCUCCA
This 79-nucleotide transfer RNA is filed under the name Sphaerodactylus townsendi. RNAcentral's name for it is "tRNA-Ala". The record is from RNAcentral. Lineage: Eukaryota; Metazoa; Chordata; Lepidosauria; Squamata; Sphaerodactylidae.